Molecule: ribosomal RNA, 253 nt
Filed under: uncultured bacterium
Lineage: Bacteria
Description: partial 16S ribosomal RNA
Rfam family: Bacterial small subunit ribosomal RNA
Source: RNAcentral
UACGGGGGGGGCAAGCGUUGUUCGGAAUUACUGGGCGUAAAGCGCGCGCAGGCGGUCCUUUAAGUCUGAUGUGAAAGCCCACGGCUCAACCGUGGAGGGUCAUUGGAAACUGGGGGACUUGAGUACAGAAGAGAAGAGUGGAAUUCCACGUGUAGCGGUGAAAUGCGUAGAGAUGUGGAGGAACACCAGUGGCGAAGGCGACUCUUUGGUCUGUAACUGACGCUGAGGCGCGAAAGCGUGGGGAGCAAACAGG